RNAcentral lists this ribosomal RNA (253 nucleotides) under uncultured bacterium. Its description in RNAcentral is "partial 16S ribosomal RNA". It matches the Rfam family "Bacterial small subunit ribosomal RNA", at positions 524 to 776 of the family's 1533-position model. The record is from RNAcentral.
UACAGAGGGUGCGAGCGUUAAUCGGAAUUACUGGGCGUAAGGCGCGCGUAGGCGGCUUUUCAAGUCGAUUGUGAAAUCCCCGGGCUUAACCUGGGAACUGCAGUCGAGACUGUCUGGCUAGAGUAUGGGAGAGGGAAGUGGAAUUUCAGGUGUAGCGGUGAAAUGCGUAGAUAUCUGAAGGAACAUCAGUGGCGAAAGCGACUUCCUGGACCAAUACUGACGCUCAUGUGCGAAAGCGUGGGGAGCAAACAGG